Molecule: ribosomal RNA, 933 nt
Filed under: Triticum aestivum (bread wheat)
Lineage: Eukaryota; Viridiplantae; Streptophyta; Magnoliopsida; Poales; Poaceae
Description: partial small subunit ribosomal RNA
Source: RNAcentral
AUGCUGCUGCGUUACACGCCUGCUAUGUGUUUGCAACGCUGCACCUAUACCAUGUAUUCUCAGCCUAGCCAGUUACAAGGAGGAUUGUCACAGAGCAUGGCCUUAUGGAAUCACUCUCGCUCACAUGCAGUCAGUUAUCACACAAAAAUGGGUCUAGUUAGUCUUUCUCCUAAGAGCACAAAAUCAUCUCGUCUGCAAAAUGGGACAUGCUUUGCCUGCUUGGAGCAACAGUCUAAACGCGGAUUAUCACCAAGAGAUCGUAUCCUACAUGCUAAGCUUGAUAUGACCUCACAUCACAAGUUUUCUAGUAUUAGCUACAAACCGAGAACGACGACAAGUUUAGCACAAAAAAUAGGAGGUACAGGCGCUGGACUUUCCUUGAGUUUCGCAGUUUCUGGGAUAGCAAAUGCUGGCGGUCUGGUGGAUAAUGACAUUGAUUCCAAAUCAUCCUCUAGUUGUGCUCAUGGGAAGAAAGUUUACACCGAGUAUUCUGUCACCGGCAUUCCUGGGGAUGGUAGAUGCUUGUUCCGUUCUGUGGCUCAUGGUGAGUGCAUUAGGUCAGGGAAACCCAUACCUAAUGAGAAUCUUCAAAGAAAGCUCGCUGAUGAUUUAAGAACACUGGUUGCUGAUGAGUUUAUCAGGAGACGGACAGAGACUGAACGGUUUAUUGAGGGUGAUUUCGAUACAUAUGUCUCUCAGAUUCGGAAGCCACAUGUGUGGGGAGGAGAGCCAGAAUUGCUCAUGGCUUCUCACGUUCUUCAGAUGCCGAUCACUGUUUAUAUGCGCGAAGAAGCAGCAGGUGGUUUGAUAGCGAUCGCGGAGUAUGGCCAGGAGUACGGGAAAGAAGACCCGAUCCGAGUCCUCUAUCAUGGCUGUGGCCAUUAUGAAGCGCUGCAUAUACCAGGAAACGCUGAGCCCAGGUCAAGACUGUAA